UACGGGGGGGGCAAGCGUUGUUCGGAAUUACUGGGCGUAAAGGGCUCGUAGGCGGCCAACUAAGUCGGUCGUGAAAUCCCCAGGCUCAACCUGGGAACUGCGUCCGAUACUGGAUGGCUUGAAUUCGGGAGAGGGAUGCAGAAUUCCAGGUGUAGCGGUGAAAUGCGUAGAUAUCUGGAGGAAUACCGGUGGCGAAGGCGGCAUCCUGGACCGACAUUGACGCUGAUGAGCGAAAGCUAGGGGAGCAAACGGG
RNAcentral lists this ribosomal RNA (253 nucleotides) under uncultured bacterium. RNAcentral describes it as "partial 16S ribosomal RNA". It matches the Rfam family "Bacterial small subunit ribosomal RNA", at positions 524 to 776 of the family's 1533-position model. The record is from RNAcentral.